RNAcentral lists this unclassified non-coding RNA (328 nucleotides) under soil metagenome. Its description in RNAcentral is "partial contains 5.8S ribosomal RNA, internal transcribed spacer 2, and large subunit ribosomal RNA". The stretch from base 1 to 120 matches the Rfam family "5.8S ribosomal RNA", at positions 35 to 154 of the family's 154-position model. The record is from RNAcentral.
GAUGAAGAACGCAGCGAAAUGCGAUAAGUAAUGUGAAUUGCAGAAUUCAGUGAAUCAUCGAAUCUUUGAACGCACAUUGCGCCCCUUGGUAUUCCGAGGGGCAUGCCUGUUCGAGCGUCAUUAUAACCCCUCAAGCUCAGCUUGGUGUUGGGGCCUGCUGCACUGGCAGCCCUUAAAAUCAGUGGCGGCGCCAUCUGGCUCUAAGCGUAGUAACUCUUCUCGCUAUGGAGUCCUGGUGGAUGCUUGCCAUCAACCCCCAAUUUUUCUAUGGUUGACCUCGGAUCAGGUAGGGAUACCCGCUGAACUUAAGCAUAUCAAUAAGCGGAGG